Unclassified non-coding RNA from Pongo abelii (Sumatran orangutan), 148 nucleotides. It matches the Rfam family "Metazoan signal recognition particle RNA". Rfam says of the family: The signal recognition particle (SRP) is a universally conserved ribonucleoprotein. It is involved in the co-translational targeting of proteins to membranes. The record is from Ensembl. Lineage: Eukaryota; Metazoa; Chordata; Mammalia; Primates; Hominidae.
GCCAGGCAUGGUUGUGCAUGCCUGUGGUCCCAGCUACUUGGGAGGCUGAGGCAGGGGGAUCAUCUGAGCCCAGGAGUUCAAGGCUGCAAUGAGCUAUGUUUGCGCCACUGCACUCCAGCCUGGGCAACAGAGUGAGACUCUGUCUCUA